UACGUAGGGUGCGAGCGUUAAUCGGAAUUACUGGGCGUAAAGCGUGCGCAGGCGGUUUGCUAAGACAGGUGUGAAAUCCCCGGGCUUAACCUGGGAACUGCGCUUGUGACUGGCAGGCUAGAGUACUGCAGAGGGGGGUGGAAUUCCUGGUGUAGCAGUGAAAUGCGUAGAUAUCAGGAGGAACACCGAUGGCGAAGGCAGCCCCCUGGGCCUGUACUGACGCUCAUGCACGAAAGCGUGGGGAGCAAACAGGAUUAGAUA
This 261-nucleotide ribosomal RNA is filed under the name uncultured prokaryote. RNAcentral's name for it is "partial 16S ribosomal RNA". It matches the Rfam family "Bacterial small subunit ribosomal RNA", at positions 524 to 784 of the family's 1533-position model. The record is from RNAcentral.